UACGGAGGGUGCGAGCGUUAAUCGGAAUUACUGGGCGUAAAGGGCGCGUAGGCGGUGAAGUCAGUCGGGUGUGAAAGCCCCGGGCUCAACCUGGGAACUGCCUUUGAUACUGGAUAUCUGGAGUUCGGGAGAGGUGAGUGGAAUUCCGAGUGUAGAGGUGAAAUUCGUAGAUAUUCGGAGGAACACCAGAAGCGAAGGCGGCUCACUGGCCCGAGACUGACGCUGAGGCGCG
Molecule: ribosomal RNA, 232 nt
Filed under: uncultured bacterium
Lineage: Bacteria
Description: partial 16S ribosomal RNA
Rfam family: Bacterial small subunit ribosomal RNA
Source: RNAcentral